Molecule: ribosomal RNA, 466 nt
Filed under: uncultured bacterium
Lineage: Bacteria
Description: partial 16S ribosomal RNA
Rfam family: Bacterial small subunit ribosomal RNA
Source: RNAcentral
AUGAACGCUGGCGGCGUGCUUAACACAUGCAAGUCGAACGGAAAGGCCCAAGCUUGCUUGGGUACUCGAGUGGCGAACGGGUGAGUAACACGUGGGUGAUCUGCCCUGCACUUCGGGAUAAGCCUGGGAAACUGGGUCUAAUACCGGAUAGGACCACUUCUUGGAUGUUGUGGUGGAAAGUUUUUUCGGUGUGGGAUGAGCUCGCGGGCUAUCAGCUUGUUGGUGGGGUAAUGGGCUACCAAGGCGUCGACGGGUAGCCGGCCGGAGAGGGUGUACGGCCACAUUGGGACUGAGAUACGGCCCAGACUCCUACGGGAGGCAGCAGUGGGGAAGAUUGCACAAUGGGCGCAAGCCUGAUGCAGCGACGCCGCGUGGGGGAUGACGGCCUUCGGGUUGGAAACUCCUUUCGCUAGGGACGAAGCGUUUUGUGACGGUACCUGGAGAAGAAGCACCGGCUAACUACGUG